CCCCUCCCGGCGCUCUGCGGCCUCGCUCCCGUGCUCCUCGCGCCACUGCCGAGGCCUCGCGACCCCCGCCGGCGUCCCCUGGUGCCCAGAAAAGCCGAGCGCGCAAACGGCGGUCAAGGAGGAGGAGGCGGCGGACGAGGAGCUUCUCCACCCUGUCCCUGGGGCUGGGCCCGGGGCGCGCCUGUCCUCUCAGCGGGACAGGCGCCCUCUCCCUGCACUUUCCAUAUGGGACCCCCACCGUCUUUCGAACUCUUCCUCCGGGAAGAUCCCUCCUCCAGCACCCUCGUAGGCGGGGAGCAAAAUCGGGGCGCCCAGCCGCCCCCGGUCCGGGAGGUGCGCCGCCUGGGCCCGGUCCCGGGAAAGCACGGCGGGUUCGGAGAGCCUCCGACGCCCAGAAGGCCGACCGCACGUCUUCGGGCCGGGCUGACUGGCCCGCAGCGCCCAGCGCGUAAACCCUAAAGACCGCGGAAAAGCUGGAGCGCGGGGGCCGCUGCGGGAAGGGGGCCGGUCGGGAGCCGAGCAGAGGUUACAGACCUACGGGGACGCCAGGUCCUUCCCCCAGAGCUACCGACCUCCGGUUUUCUUAGUUUAUUCCGUUUUUUGGAGGACCCUCCUUUCUACCCACUGUUUCCUCCUCCUUGCCUUUUUUCAUGUAACCGUCCAUCCUUGAGGAGGCUCCAUAGGGAUCCGUGGUCAAGGUCCUGACUGCUUUUGUAGCUGCGCAGAGCUCCACUGUGUGGUCAACCCGUCCCCUGUUAAUGGGCCCGUGGGUUGAUCCAGCCUCGUCUCCACUAGCAGUCCUGCAUCAAGUGGCCACCUGCAGGCAUCUUUUUGUAUUUGGGGCAAAUGCACACCUGGUGUGUUUGCCAACCAAGCUCUGCAGUCUCGGGUGUUCAUAGCUAAACAGAAUGCAACAAAGUUUUAUCCUGGGGGGAGGCCAGGAUAACUCACAAAAGUGAGUUAUCCUGGCAGAAAUGUUUGAUAUUUUGGCCGUCUCUAGUGUGUUAAAAUGUGGUAUAGAACACAUUUGAGAAUGGGUUGCAGGUGAAGGGUAAAAAAAGAUAAUCAGGUCCUUGUGUAGCUCUCACAGCAGAUCUGAGGCCUCUUGGUUUCCUUUGGACACAGUCUGAGAACCACUUUUUUGGUUGAUGAGUGUCAUAGCAGGAGCUAUGAUCCUAUCUGUGCUCUUGGGGAGGGGGAAACUUCCCCUCAACCCCUCUUGGGUUCUUGUGGCUGGACUGAUAGUACAGUUGGCACAAGACAGAUUAACAGGAGAAAAAGAAACUAAUUCUAAUUCAUGUGCACGGAGGCCCUGUAGAAAUGGGACCUAAGAAGUGGCCAAAGCAGGAAACUUUUAUACUUUUUAGACAAACAAUAAAUUUGUGAGGACUCGACAGGACAAAGAAACUUAGGUUUGGGGUGCCAGUUAAAGAAUGAGGUUUGUUUGUGUUUCUCGGCCCCCAAUUCCCCAUCUUUGGGGAUAAGGGUGUCCUGCCUCUAGAUGCAGGGGAUGCUCCUUUCACAGAAAAGAUUUAUGUCCUGCUUUCAGGGAGACAGAAAGGAGGGUCAGAGUGUCCCUUUGCAUUGGCCGUUUCUUAAGUACUUUAAUUCAAAAUAAUCAAUAUGCCGUUAAGGCACAUUUUGAGAUGGCCUAUCCUGGGCCCCAAAGGUCCUCACGUGGGUGAAGGGAGAGCUCUCUGGGGUCCUUUUAUAGGGGCAUUAAUUCCAUAUGUGAGAGCUCUGCCCUCAUGGCCUGAUUGUGACCCGAAGGCCCUCACCCCAUUGGAGGUUAGAAUUUAAAUGUGUUGAGGCGGGGAGACGUAAGUCUUUAUAGCACUUGGUUAUGAACUUCUCCGGACUCAGAGUUUCCAUUUGUUAAUGGAAUCAGCAAUGCUUGCCUUGGAGGGAGCACUUCGUAGGUGCUCACUCUAGGUAAGCAAAGUGUGCCACCCCAAAAUGUGUCUCUUUGGCAUGAGGAUUAAUUUAGGCUGAUUGCUUUUAAGAAAGAAGACUCAGAAAGUGUUUCUUUUUACUUCCCCCUUAGCUGCCUAAAGAAUUUAGAUAAAGGGCCCGUUCCUGGAAUAGAGCCGUCGCCACAGAUAUCUACAAAGAACAUGGCCCAAUGUGGUGGGAAAACCUAGAGGUCAGAGUCCGCUCUGUGUCCCACUGUCUCUGCAAGGCCCACGAACAUUUGCUUACCACACAUCUGCUUUUCCAUCUCUGUGAAUUGCCUUCCACCCCUUUGAAGUCCCAAACCACUACCCUCAACGUGCUCUUUUGUCUUCAGCUGAAGAUGGUGUUUAAGGUCAAUUUAAUUCUUAGAGCAGCUGGAAAACCCUAGAAGGGCAGAGGCAAAGGUCUUCCUCCCCGACACUGCCGAAUGAUAGCUGCUUUCACCACUGAACUGUGCUCUGUUUGCAGACAGCUCUCUCUUGUUCGACUGGGAACUCUUUGAAGACCCUGGUUCUGUCUUUUCCUUGAUUCCCCGGUAGAACAGACCUGCAGUCCCUUAUCUGCAAUUCCAAAAUGCAGAAAGCUCUGGACACUGAGAAGUUUUUUUCCCGUAAGUUUGGUGCCAAGAUUCUCUUUGCUGCAAAAUCUGACCUGACCUGACUGUAGCACUCCAAUGCUCCCAGGGGUGCAGGCGCCUCUAUCAGUUGCUGGUGUUGUGUGUGUUUUAAAUUUUUAAGUUUAUUUUUCCUUUUGUGACUUUGUGUUCAGUCGUACUAUUCAUGCAUGAAAAAAGAGUUAAAGAUACCCCACUGCUUGCUGGGGACACAGAUAACACUGUCCUUGGUGAUAUCAGGAAGCCGGUGAUGUUGGGACCCACCAUGACAUAUGACUUUGGAAAUCAAAGGGCGGGCAGUUGAAGUUCUGCAGGAUUGGUGAUGACCAAGACCCACUGAGACAUGGAAACCACUGCCUGGGGGGGCAGGGGUGCUGACAGAAGUGGAUGGUGGGCUUGGCAGUGAGGACGCCAGCGUAUGCCAAACAGCAUUUGCUGCUCACGAGACAGCUUGGAUAGCACAGGAAGAACUGAUUUUUAAAGCUCUGAAUGCUUUGAACUCCGAAGCCCAGCCUGCCCCGGAAGACUCAGACCUGGAGCUCGGCAAAAGCAUCCCAGGAAAUAUUUGUGAGCGAAUGAAGCGUAGUGAGGGGGGAUCACUGUGGGGUGUGACAGACACUCUGAUGCAAGGAGCCGUGGCCCAGGCCAGCCCCUGGGGAGGAGGGGGAAGGGGCGCAGGGAAUAAGCCAGUUCAGCCAGUCUCUGUACUUGACCGACGCUCUUGUGAACUGAAGAUGCCGAAGUAAAGGCCUUGAUGGGACUUACCGUGUCUAUCAGACUCUGUGUCCCUGAGGGCAGUGCCGGGGUCAGAGUGUCAGAUAAAACACAGGAUGCCCAAAUAUCCGGAAAAAAGACGAAAACUCUUAAUUCAAAAUGAUGCAUGCAACCCACUGUUCAUAGCAGCACUAUUUAUAAUAGCCAAGACAUGGAAGCAUCCUAAGUGUCUAACAUUCGAUUAGUUUA
This is a long non-coding RNA of Balaenoptera musculus (blue whale), 3529 nucleotides long. RefSeq lists it as uncharacterized. The record is from RefSeq and is a predicted model, not a curated record. Lineage: Eukaryota; Metazoa; Chordata; Mammalia; Artiodactyla; Balaenopteridae. The transcript has 3 exons.